UCUAUAUCUACAUUGUGAUAAAAAAAACGAAAAGAAUAGCAACGAAAAAAAAAAAAAGAGAAAAAAACAAAGAAAAAAAUGAAAAAUAAAAGAAAAAAAAACAGAAAAAAAUGAAAAAAAAUAGAAAAAAAAGAAAAAAGUGUUUGGAACUUGUGAAAAAAUUGUGAAAGUUUAAUAUUUUUUUGGAAAAGUCGAAAAAGUUUGUGAAAGUUUAACGAAACAAGAAAAAAAAAUAAAGAAAACAAAUGAAGAGUGAAGGAGAGAGAGGAGGAGGAGGAGGAGGAGGAGGAGGAGGAGGAAGAAGAGGAAGAGGAGGAAGAAAAAUAGUGAUGAUGUUGAUGGUGGUGGUGAUGUUGGGGUUGACGAUGAUGGUGAAGAUAAAGAUAGAGAGAAAAGAAGAUGAAGAUCUCGUGAUGAAAUACAAAAUAGAAGAAGAAGAUAAAGAAGAAGGAGGAGAAGAAUAUGCAAGAGAGAUAGAGAGAGAAUUAAGAGAGGAAGACAGAAGAAAGAGAAGAGAAGAGAAGUGGAAGAAGAUAUUGGAAGAGGAGGUGAAGGAAGAGGAGGAGAAGGAGGAGGAGGAGGAAGAAUUAUUUGGUAUCAUACUUUACGAAAUGGAAGAAGAAGAAGAGGAGGAGGGGAGGAUAAUAUUUAAAGAGAAGAACAAGGAAGAGGAGGAGGAGGAAGAGGAAGAGGAAGGAGGAAGAAGAAGAGGAGGAGAAGGAUAUGGGAAGAUAAUU
Eriocheir sinensis (Chinese mitten crab) is the source of this 737-nucleotide long non-coding RNA. RefSeq lists it as uncharacterized. NCBI's taxonomy places the organism in Eukaryota, Metazoa, Arthropoda, Malacostraca, Decapoda, Varunidae. The record is from RefSeq and is a predicted model, not a curated record. The transcript has 3 exons.